Callithrix jacchus (white-tufted-ear marmoset) is the source of this 954-nucleotide long non-coding RNA. RefSeq lists it as uncharacterized. NCBI's taxonomy places the organism in Eukaryota, Metazoa, Chordata, Mammalia, Primates, Cebidae. The record is from RefSeq and is a predicted model, not a curated record.
GGGCAAGGGCCGCCGGCGGCCGCAGCGCCGUGGCGCUGGGACCGGCCUGCCCCGCCCCUGGGCAGGGCCACUCGGGCGACUCCGCCAGGCGGGAGCAGACGCCUGAAGCUCCAGGGGAGAGCGGGCGGCCGGGGCAGGGUAGGGUCUGUGGAUGGGAGCCGCCGGGCUGACCCACUUCCCCAGUUUUCCCCUCGGCAGCGCUCACGGAGAUGGAAAGGCGGCCGCCUCACUCCGCUGACUGACCCGGGAGAGUCGCUGCAGCGGGGAGCAAGCCGCCCGCAGGGGCUCCCGCACCGGCCGGCGCCGCCCCGCCCUUCCUUUGGGAAAGGGAAAAGGCUCCCGAAGCCUCAGAGGAGGAACUCCCCCUCCUGUUCUCACAUUAUCCUAAGCCUGUAAAUCUGGCAGGCCCAGAACACUGCCACAACACCAGCUAACCCCCAGCAGCAAAAUCAAGAAAUGUGGCAGCAAGAGCAUACAGCAUUCAAGGCACCAUCUUGGAAGCAGAUAGCAGCCCUCACCAGAUGCCAACCUUGAUCUUGGACUUCCCAGCCUCUAGAAAUAAGCUGCCUGGCCUCCUUAUGCAGUCCCCUUCAUCUUCAAGAAGAAACCGCAUUGAGUCCUUCUCAUGCUUCAAAUAUCUCUGACUUCCUCUUUUGCCAACAGCCAGAGAAAACGUUUACCGUUUAAAGGUCUCAUGUGAUUCCCUGGAUAAUUGUUCUAUUCUAAAGUCAGCGAUUAGUCACCUUAGUUGCAUCUUCAAAGUUGCUUUUGCCAUGUAAUAUCACAGAAGUAAUUCCAGGGUGAAGAUCAUGAGAGCUACAUAGACUCCUGCUUCCUGCAUGAUUAUCUUGAGGAAUAAGUAAAGGUGUAUAUGUAAAACAUUUAGAACAGUGUUUUAUUUUGUGAUACUGAUAAUAAGAACUCAAUAAAAAUUCAAUAUUUCAUUUGUCUACA